GGAGUUGGCCAGACAAUCGCCGUUCAGUUUUCAUUCUUGAAUUUCUGAAGGGAGGAAAGUCCGGGCUCCAUAGGGCAGGGUGCCAGGUAACGCCUGGGCGGCGCGAGCCGACGACAAGUGCAGCAGAGAGAAGACCGCCAGUUUGUUAUUCGUAAUAAAUCGGUAAGGGUGAAAGGGUGCGGUAAGAGCGCACCGCGUUGCUGGCAACAGUAUACGGCAAGGUAAACUCCACCCGGAGCAAGACCAAAUAGGAUCUCGUAUGGCGUGGCCCACGUUGAGAUCGGGUGUGUUGCUGGAGCCAGUGAGCGAUUGCUGGCCUAGAUGAAUGAUUGUCGCUGUUUGUUUUCGAACAAACUUCACAAAACCCGGCUUAUCGGCCAACUCCAACU
Molecule: non-coding RNA, 389 nt
Organism: Paraglaciecola psychrophila 170
Lineage: Bacteria; Pseudomonadati; Pseudomonadota; Gammaproteobacteria; Alteromonadales; Alteromonadaceae
Rfam family: Bacterial RNase P class A
About the family: Ribonuclease P (RNase P) is a ubiquitous endoribonuclease, found in archaea, bacteria and eukarya as well as chloroplasts and mitochondria. Its best characterised activity is the generation of mature 5'-ends of tRNAs by cleaving the 5'-leader elements of precursor-tRNAs.
Source: Rfam